GGUCUGUGAUGCCCUUAGAUGUUCCGGGCUGCACGCGCGCUACACUGACAGAGACAACGAGUGGUUCCCCUUGUCCGAAAUGACUGGGUAAACUUGUGAAACUUUGUCGUGCUGGGGAUGGAGCUUUGUAAUUUUUGCUCUUCAACGAGGAAUUCCUAGUAAGCGCAAGUCAUCAGCUUGCGUUGAUUACGUCCCUGCCCUU
Molecule: ribosomal RNA, 202 nt
Filed under: Leptocylindrus danicus
Lineage: Eukaryota; Bacillariophyta; Leptocylindrophyceae; Leptocylindrales; Leptocylindraceae
Description: partial Eukaryotic small subunit ribosomal RNA
Rfam family: Eukaryotic small subunit ribosomal RNA
Source: RNAcentral